This 4857-nucleotide long non-coding RNA is filed under the name Panax ginseng (ginseng). RNAcentral's name for it is "long non-coding RNA (PGIN_LNC015825)". Lineage: Eukaryota; Viridiplantae; Streptophyta; Magnoliopsida; Apiales; Araliaceae. The record is from RNAcentral.
GCAAAUCGGAUAGGUGUGUUUGACACAACAUCACAAAUUCGCAGAACAGAAAACUAAGGUUAACCCAUACGCCUCCCACAACAAAACACCAAAUGGCCCACUUCCUCCGGAAUCCAACAUGGAGACGCCGUGGACUAAACACACCGCCACGGAAAGUGUCACGUCUCUCGUGCCAAGACGACGUGCCUGUGGUACCCCCACAAGUGGUUAUAACUCAGGUAUACUCUACGGUAUAUUCUAACAAAAAUAUCAUGUCACAACACAUGCGACAUAAUACCAACAAAAGGGUUCUAUAUGUACAUGUUGAACCGAAUCAAAUUAUAGUCACAAGGUUUCAAAAGGAAGGUAGCAACAUGUACCGCUCUACAAUUAUCAAAAUAAAUAAUACUAAACAUGAUAACCUAAUUCAAAGAGUACAAAUACGAGUCAUACGUAUCAACUCUAAAAUGAAACUAAUAUAUUUAUUUCACAAGAAACAAUUAUGUGAAAUCAUAAUAGAAUUCGAAAUAAGGAAACAAACGAACAAAUCAAAUUUAACAAAGGUAUCGCUGAAAGAGUACGGAAUCCGUACCUGAUACUUCCAAACCAUUUAUAGCACACUCCACAAAAUCUUACCCUCAAAUGCCAACGAUAUCAAAUACGAAACGUUAUUCAUCACCUAAACAUAUUCACCUCAAAUUAAAUAUAAUCCAAUUCAAUAAUUCCAAAAUAAUUCAUAAUCUAUUUAAUAUGCCUUUAAUCAUCGUCUUAUAUCAAUUAUUAAUACUCCAAAAUUUAUAUUCCAAAUAUAACUCUUUAAGUUCCUUCCGUCCGAACUAAUUACACAAAUUAAUAAUACUAAAUGUAAGUACAUUUAUAAAAAUAUGAACACUUCUAUUUGGUACGACUAUAAAAUAUAAUUACUUAUAAUAUUAAGAUUUAAUUCAUUCCAUAUAAUCUUACAUAUUUAUUUGUAUAACAUCUCUUGCAAAUUAUGCAAGUUUUCGUAAACUUUAAUUACUACUGCUAUAUAUAUAUUUUUAUUUAAAAAAAUCAUCAAUUUAUUAUUUUAGGAUCUCCAAAAUCAAUCACAGACUACUCCCUCCGUUCAAUCUGAUUGGAAUAAAGUGAUAAUAAUAAUAAGUACAUCCGUAUAAGUAUUACAUUAAUAAAUAAACUCUCCCAUCUUUAAAGAUCGCUCUUAGUUCUUGAAUUACAAAAGUACUUGCUCAUGAUGAAAAAAACAACAUACUAAAUUUAAUAAUUUAAUAUGGAACCACGUGAUUUAUCCCCACUUUAUAUAAUGUAUAAUAUACUUACUUAUUACUGAUGAAAUUUCCCCACUAGUGAUCAAAAUCUCUAGUCUUUCUUCACCUGAGCCCCCUUUGUAGCUGUUCCCUUUAUCUCCAAAGUAGCCACCUCUUCUUAUUCAGUUUGUAUAAUGAAGUAAUAUUAGGUUUAGCUAUUUAUUAAUUAGGUUUGCCCUAAUAAACUUCUAUUUGGGUUAAAUUAAUAUUAAGGCCCAAAUUUUAACCACAUAAUAUUAUCUAUCACUUAUUAAUAUUUAUUAGCCCACAUAAUUUAAAUAACUAGUUUGACCCAAAUAAAUGACAAGUUCCAAACAAUAUGUUUUAAGAAUAUAAAUUUAAUAUUAUUUUAUUAUUUUUUUCGGGAUAUUACAUUACCUCCCCCUUAAAAAGGAUUCCGUCCCCGGAAUCAAAAGAAUGAAAAAUACCUAAUUAUCAAAAAGAUGCAGAUACUCCGCUCGAAUAGACUCUUCUAUCUCCCAAGUAGUUUCCCGCUCCGAAUAAUUUUACCACAAGACUUUAACAAAAGGAAUUAUCUUCCUCAAAUUUUAAUUUAAUCAGUUAUUUAAUUAUCUACUAAAAGAAUUUAAUUUUCCAAACAAAACAAGGAAGAAAAGAAGGAAACAAAAUCAUUUACCUUUUCCCAUUUAAACACAAUUGUAUAAGAUAAAAUCAAUUAAUAUUUAAUUAUAUAAAAAAAAUAGGUUAUUACAUUUUUCACCCCUUAAAAAUAAUUCCGUCCUCGGAAUUCAAAUAAGCUACAGAAAAAAUAAAUAAAUUUAGUUACGAUGUAGCGUCGCCAUUUGUAACGUUCAACGUGGAUAAGUCAUCGGUCCACGUAAUUAUCAAUGUACUUGUAAAAGAUUCAUCAGCUACCGUGUCAAGUCUUGGUAAGGUUCUUCUCGUUAAAUCACAUGAUCCACUGUUGGUGCAGGCCCCCCGUUAAUAUCUUUGAGUUUCAUUCUUGCAAGCGUACGUACUCUUCUGAACAUAAUUCGAAAUCACAAACAUUUUUCUUCAUCUAAAUACGAUUCAAAUAACCAAAAUAUUUAAAAUUAUUUUUAACUCGUUAAAAUGUUUAUAUUCCACACAUGACAAAGAUCUAACAAAUUAUUUUUAUUUAAUUUUACAUAAAUUCACGCAAAACUCUAAAGACAUCAGAUAACCAAAACAACUAUGCAAACCAUAUUACCAACUCUCCCCAAGUCCUCAAGAGCUUCAAAAUAUCUCAUCCUUAAUUUGAACUAUUCACCAAAUAAUAUUACACCAAAGAAUAUACUACUAAUAUCUCUUUAUCACCAACUUUCCUAAGUCCUUAAGAGUUUCAAAAUAUCAUAACCUCCAAUCAAAUUAGUUCUCAAAUAUUAUUACACCAAAAAUAUACUACUACUAAGAUCUCUCCAUCACCAUACCAAACUCCAAAUCAUAUAUCCUACUAUCUGAAUAAACAAACGAUAGCUUUCAAAAUCUCUUAAAGAUUCAUCACUUAAUAUCUAAUCAUUUAAUAAAUCAAUCAUUCUCUUAGUGCAAACCUUAACCCAACAAAUUCCAAAAUCUCCUCAUACUAUCACUCAAAAUUUCAUAUAAGAUAACUCCAAUAUUCUACUAGGAAAUAAUCGCAAAAUUCAUUUACUCCAAAAAAUUAAUCUAAUUACCUCGAAUCUUUACAACAACUCAAAAUUACAAGAGAUCCUUUGUACUUAAUAGUUUUCACUUUAUCAUAUUAUCCCACCGAUUCACAUACCUCAAAUUAUUCACAACUUAACAAAAAUCAGAAUCUAACCCAAAUAAAAUCCUCAAUUCCAAAAUCAUAAUAAUUUGUAAUUACCUGAAAUAACUCUUAACAAAUAAUUCUCCCAUAUCAAAACUUGCUGAUACAAAUGCUCAUAUCAUAAUCGUAUAAUCAUUUCUUAACUGAACAAAAUAUGAUAUUAUUCUCCUUAAUAAUCCAAUCACAAUCCUUAACUAAUAUUAUUGUUCCAACGCAUAACAAUAAUAAUCUUAACAAAUUAUCUCGCCUUUCUCAAAUCAACUAUAACUCAAAGAACUAAAAAAACACUUGGUCAGAAUAAGACCAACCAAACAGAGAACAAAAUCAAUUCAAACUCCUAUGUCUACCCAGUGAUUUACCCACAACUCACAGGUCAAACCUAAAUAGGUUUUCUACAAGAAAGAACCUAAGCUCUGAUACCAUCUCUGUAACACCCCCUUCCCGAAAAGGAAAGGGAGGUCACGUGCAAAGCACAACAAACCUCAAAAUAAAUAAACAGAGCACUAACAACCUCAAAAUAUUAAUAGUGGUGAUUCAUUAAUAAAGUAAUAAGUACAAUUCUCCAAACUGAGUCAAAAUAAUCAAAACUUAAAAUUCGAAUCAACCUAAAUGGUCAAAGGCAAAAAUCUCAUCACACUAGCCCUGAAUCACCCCUGCAAACCUGCCGGAAGAAAAACACAGCAUGAGCCAAUUGCCCAGUACGGAUACAGAUAUACAAAAGAUAUACAACUGAUAUACGAAAAUAACUGAGACAAAAUACUGAACAAAGCCUCAAGUGCAAAUACGAACGAAAAUAUAAUAUCCAAAGAUUUGAAUGGAAUAUAUCUGAAUCAACGUAAUGAAUAUAUCUGAAUCAACGUAAUUGACGAAACCAAUAAAAGAAUAAAGAAAUAACGAACUGAAGUAACUAACUCAAUGACUUGAACUGAACAGAAACCAACAAAACUAAUCCAAUAAAAUAAUAGGCUGAAACAAAUGGCUGGAGUUAUUUUAUACCGAAUGAGCUCAGAAAUACACAUUGCCACACAGGCAAGUCAAAAUAAUGCCACACAGGCAACCAAAAUAAUGCCACACAGGCAAAUCACACAUUGGACCGCGAAUCCAAAUGUAUGCAAAUCGGAUAGGUGUGUUUGGCACAACAUCACAAAUCCGCAGAACAGAAAACUAGGGUUAACCCAUACGCCUCCCACAACAAAACACCAAAUGGCCCACUUCCUCCGGAGCCCAAAAUGGAGACGCCGUGGACUAAUCACACCGCCACGGAAAGUGUCACGUCUCUCGUGCCAAGACGACGUGCCUGUGGUACCCCCACAGGUGGUUAUAACUCAGGUAUACUCUACGGUAUAUUCUAACAAAAAUAUCAUGUCACAACACAUGCGACAUAAUACCAACAAAAGGGUUCUAUAUGUACAUGUUGAACCGAAUCAAAUUAUAGUCACAAGGUUUCAAAAGGAAGGUAGCAACAUGUACCGCUCUACAAUUAUCAAAAUAAAUAAUACUAAACAUGAUAACCUAAUUCAAAGAGUACAAAUACGAGUCAUACGUAUCAACUCUAAAAUGAAACUAAUAUAUUUAUUUCACAAGAAACAAUUAUGUGAAAUCAUAAUAGAAUUCGAAAUAAAGAAGCAAACGAACAAAUCAAAUUUAACAAAGGUAUCGCUGAAAGAGUACGAAAUCCAUACCUGAUACUUCCAAACCAUUUAUAGCACACUCCACAAAAUUUUACCCUCAAAUGCCAACGAUAUCAAAUACGAAACAUUAUUCAUCACCUAAACAUAUUCACCUCAAAUUAAAUAUAAU